This is a non-coding RNA of Solanum dulcamara, 73 nucleotides long. Lineage: Eukaryota; Viridiplantae; Streptophyta; Magnoliopsida; Solanales; Solanaceae. The record is from the annotation of a RefSeq genome assembly.
AGGUGUAUAGCUUAGUUGGUAGAGCAUUGGACUUUUAAUCUAAUAGUCGCAGGUUCAAUUCCUGCUAUACCCA